Mus musculus (house mouse) is the source of this 1504-nucleotide long non-coding RNA. RefSeq annotates it as RIKEN cDNA 2210416O15 gene. The record is from RefSeq and is marked validated. Lineage: Eukaryota; Metazoa; Chordata; Mammalia; Rodentia; Muridae. The transcript is spliced from 4 exons.
GGUGACAUCUCAGUCAGCAGCCACAUCGGAGGACUUCAGAGUCAGAAUUUUUCACGUGGGGUCCUGAUAGUGGUAUCCUCAGAUUCCACCUCGCUGAAGAAAUUACCCUUGACAAGCAAAGGAUGGAGACUCUGGGGCCUUGGUUUGUGAUUUUCACCAUCAGAUGUCUCUUGGAGCUGCCACUUUCCCACACUCCUGAUGUCCCCAAGCCCAGAGAGGUUCGUGCAUCUUCUACAGCCCUCACUAGUGGCUCCUCGUUCGGCAGAGCCCAAGCGCAUCACACCGGGCCAUAAAGGGAAGAUCACAAGUCCUCAAGAGGAGCGGUCUGUGCAGGAAUGCACAGAGGAGACUGUCCCAGUGUCCUCAGAGGCCCCUUGCCCCUUAUCCCUCUCCCCUUGCCCCGUAUCCUGCGCAACCGCAUUGGCCUCGGGAUCCCUAUUCCUGCUUCCAGUCCUGGGGAGAGGGUCUGGGGGUGUCGCAGCCUGAGCCCCGCCGCGCGCGCAGCCCCGCUCCUCCCCGCGCGCCCCACUUGUGGCCCCGCCGGCAGCUUCGCAGGGACAGCUGCAUUUCUCGCCGCCCGCCGCUAGGAAGCCGGCCUCGCCUCGCUUUCUCCGCCUCCCGGCGCCCAGCCGCGCCGCCGCGCCACCAAGCCGGGCUGCCGCUGCCGCCGCGGGACCGCGCCCCUCCCCCGCCGCCCGACCCCAGCGGCCCCGCGGGAGCGGACGCGCGUGCGGUGCUCGGUAAGACCCCGAUUCGCUCUCGCCGCCCCUAGCGCGAGCUCGCGGGCGCCGCGCUCCACCCCGGCCCGGUGGCCCCACCUUCCCCGGGAGCAUCGCCGAGGCGCGGCCGCGAGGGCCGGGCCGUCGCGAGUUUGAGUCCUCGCGCGGUGGCCAAGGCUGCCCGGGAGCCCGCGGCAGGUCCCCGGCCGCCCUCCCUCCGCCGCUGCCCGCCUCGUUCCUGGUCCUGGGCACAGGGAGCGUGCGGAGGAUCCCGGGGCCGCGAUCCGAGGGGUGGUCGCCGGCCAGCCGGCGCCGCGAGGAAGGGACGCGAGGCCUUGGGGAGCCUGCUCAACCCGGGUCUCUCUGCUCCCCGGUUCCCCGCUUUGUGUGGACACCCUCCCGGCUUCGCCCGGGCUUGGGGGCGCAGCCUGAAUGGCGAUGGCGAGGCGGGGGCCUGGGUUGGGAGCUGAACUCCUUUUAGGGGGAGGGGAGAAUCGUUUCCUGCUCCCGCCGUGGUCACCGGUCGGUUCAGCCUUUUCUGGUCCCACCCGGUCCCCUGGGAGCUGCGUCUCUCCGCGACCCGGCUGGAGAAAGUUCAGAAUGCGCUGUCCCCGCCCCUGCUCCCCCGCCCCUCGAACUCUGAGUGCCUGGGGCGCUGAGCUCCAGGGGGCCGGGGCUUGCCUUUAUUCCUUCAGCGCUCUUGGGUUUCUCUCUGAAUGGUUGGUGGCUUGCCACCCCAGCAUGGGCUUGUCCAUUUUCUUUCCUUAAUAAAAAGUUUCAGCUUC